RNAcentral lists this ribosomal RNA (254 nucleotides) under uncultured bacterium. RNAcentral describes it as "partial 16S ribosomal RNA". It matches the Rfam family "Bacterial small subunit ribosomal RNA", at positions 524 to 776 of the family's 1533-position model. The record is from RNAcentral.
UACGGAGGGUGCGAGCGUUGUCCGGAAUCAUUGGGCGUAAAGGGCGCGUAGGUGGCCCGGUCAGUCUUUGGUGAAAGCGCGGGGCUCAACCCUGCGUCGGCCAGGGAUACUGCCGCGGCUCGAGCACUGUAGAGGCAGGCGGAAUUCCGGGUGUAGCGGUGAAAUGCGCAGAUAUCGGGAAGAACACCCGUGGCGAAGGCGGCUCUCUGGAACGCAACUGACGCUGAGACGCGAAAGCGUGGGGAGCAAACAGG